Molecule: long non-coding RNA, 223 nt
Organism: Syngnathoides biaculeatus (alligator pipefish)
Lineage: Eukaryota; Metazoa; Chordata; Actinopteri; Syngnathiformes; Syngnathidae
Exons: 3
Source: RefSeq, a predicted model, not a curated record
CUUUUGGGUCCCGUCCCUUGCCGCGUGCUCAUGACAGUUUCCUCUGGAAAUUCUUUUUAGGGUCUUCAAGGAAUUUCUGGAGAAAGAGGACCUGAUGGACCACUGGGUUCCAUGGGCCCUCCAGGGUCUCCAGGACCUCAGGGGAUCACUGGUGCCCCAGGCGAAAAGGGUUUUACAGGGAAAUCUGGUACGGAGGGACCGCAGGGCCCAGUUGGCAUGUAUG